AGCAGCCGCGGUAAUUCCAGCUCCAAUAGCGUAUAUUAAAGUUGUUGCAGUUAAAAAGCUUGUAGUUGAAUUUCGGGAUCAAUUAAUCGGUCGUACCUAUGGUACGUACUGAUUUUAUUGGUUUCUCCCUUCUGACGAACCAUGAUGUCAUUAAUUUGGUGUCGUGGAGAAUCAGGACUGUUACUUUGAAAAAAUUAGAGUGUUUAAAGCUAAAUACAUUAGUAUGGAAUAAUGAAAUAGGGCGUUUGAUCCUAUUUUGUUGGUUUCUAGGAUCGACGUAAUGAUUAAUAGGGAUAGUUGGGGGCAUUAGUAUUCAAUUGUCAGAGGUGAAAUUCUUGGAUUUAUUGAAGACUAACUACAGCGAAAGCAUUUG
Molecule: unclassified non-coding RNA, 373 nt
Filed under: uncultured Glomus
Lineage: Eukaryota; Fungi; Glomeromycota; Glomeromycetes; Glomerales; Glomeraceae
Description: SSU rRNA
Rfam family: Eukaryotic small subunit ribosomal RNA
Source: RNAcentral